GUGUCUGAAAGGAGAGAUGUUUAGCAGUCCUCUUGACAAGGGUGGAAGAGGCCCUUAUGGCUAGUACAACAUGCAUAUGGUUAAGGUAUCGCUGCUUACCUUGAGGCAUCUAACCAUGGCUUUUA
RNAcentral lists this non-coding RNA (125 nucleotides) under Pogona vitticeps (central bearded dragon). Lineage: Eukaryota; Metazoa; Chordata; Lepidosauria; Squamata; Agamidae. The record is from RNAcentral.